This 86-nucleotide transfer RNA is filed under the name Candidatus Endomicrobiellum neotermitis. RNAcentral describes it as "tRNA-Leu". It matches the Rfam family "tRNA". From Rfam's summary of the family: Transfer RNA (tRNA) molecules are approximately 80 nucleotides in length. Their secondary structure includes four short double-helical elements and three loops (D, anti-codon, and T loops). The record is from RNAcentral. Lineage: Bacteria; Pseudomonadati; Elusimicrobiota; Endomicrobiia; Endomicrobiales; Endomicrobiaceae.
GGGCGAAUGGCGGAACUGGCAGACGCACAGGACUUAAAAUCCUGAAACUUGCAAAAGUUGUGAGGGUUCGAUUCCCUCUUCGCCCA